GGGGCUGCCUGGUUUUGACAGCAUAGAUCUUUGAAGGUGUAAGCAUGCCGUGCGUUGUGUAAUUAGCACGUUAAUCUGAAUACUCAAAACUCAAAUGGCAAUACACAGUAUGCCAUGGCUGCGUAAUUAGUGAUUAUUCAGUCAUUCGGGCCGCCGAACAGGUUGAUCUGUUACCAAGUUCCGCCGCCGACUCAAAAACAAAACAGGUUGCUGUAACACAAGGCUGUGACUGUUGCAAAAGAUUUAUUCAGCUACGUAUUGUAUUGGUAGGUUCAGGUCCUGUACAGUGCCGACAAUUAAUCAUGAAAUAAGCAUGUAGAAAGCUUUUGGAGAAUGUGUUUGGACAGCGGUUCGAGUCCGCUCAGCUCCACAA
This 373-nucleotide transfer-messenger RNA is filed under the name Lacibacter cauensis. RNAcentral's name for it is "Standard tmRNA". It matches the Rfam family "transfer-messenger RNA". Rfam says of the family: Bacterial tmRNA, also known as 10Sa RNA or SsrA, is named for its dual tRNA and mRNA-like properties. Its role is to liberate the mRNA from a stalled ribosome. To accomplish this part of the tmRNA is used as a reading frame that ends in a translation stop signal. The record is from RNAcentral. Lineage: Bacteria; Pseudomonadati; Bacteroidota; Chitinophagia; Chitinophagales; Chitinophagaceae.